RNAcentral lists this ribosomal RNA (701 nucleotides) under uncultured bacterium. Its description in RNAcentral is "bacterial SSU rRNA". It matches the Rfam family "Bacterial small subunit ribosomal RNA", at positions 8 to 695 of the family's 1533-position model. The record is from RNAcentral.
AGAGUUUGAUCAUGGCUCAGAUUGAACGCUGGCGGCAGGCCUAACACAUGCAAGUCGAACGGUAACAGGAAGCAGCUUGCUGCUUUGCUGACGAGUGGCGGACGGGUGAGUAAUGUCUGGGAAACUGCCUGAUGGAGGGGGAUAACUACUGGAAACGGUAGCUAAUACCGCAUAACGUCGCAAGACCAAAGAGGGGGACCUUAGGGCCUCUUGCCAUCGGAUGUGCCCAGAUGGGAUUAGCUAGUAGGUGGGGUAACGGCUCACCUAGGCGACGAUCCCUAGCUGGUCUGAGAGGAUGACCAGCCACACUGGAACUGAGACACGGUCCAGACUCCUACGGGAGGCAGCAGUGGGGAAUAUUGCACAAUGGGCGCAAGCCUGAUGCAGCCAUGCCGCGCGUAUGAAGAAGGCCUUCGGGUUGUAAAGUACUUUCAGCGGGGAGGAAGGGAGUAAAGUUAAUACCUUUGCUCAUUGACGUUACCCGCAGAAGAAGCACCGGCUAACUCCGUGCCAGCAGCCGCGGUAAUACGGAGGGUGCAAGCGUUAAUCGGAAUUACUGAGCGUCAAGCGCACGCACGCGGUUUGUUAAUUCAGAUGUGAAAUCCCCGGGCUCAACCCUGGGGAACUGCAUCUGAUACUGGCAAGCUUUGAGUCUCGUAGAGGGGGGGUAGAAUUCCGGGGUAGCGGUGAAAGGCGUUAAG